Molecule: transfer RNA, 76 nt
Filed under: Rhodocyclales bacterium GWA2_65_19
Lineage: Bacteria; Pseudomonadati; Pseudomonadota; Betaproteobacteria; Rhodocyclales
Also listed under: 6 other names
Description: tRNA-Phe
Rfam family: tRNA
About the family: Transfer RNA (tRNA) molecules are approximately 80 nucleotides in length. Their secondary structure includes four short double-helical elements and three loops (D, anti-codon, and T loops).
Source: RNAcentral
GGCUAGGUAGCUCAGUUGGUAGAGCAACGGACUGAAAAUCCGUGUGUCGGCAGUUCGAUUCUGCCCCUGGCCACCA